GACGAACCGUGCGAACGUUGUUCGGAAUCACUGGGCUUAAAGGGCGCGUAGGCGGCCUUCUAAGUCGAACGUGAAAUCCCCGGGCUCAACCCGGGAACUGCGUCCGAUACUGGAAGGCUUGAAUCCGGGAGAGGGAUGUGGAAUUCCAGGUGUAGCGGUGAAAUGCGUAGAUAUCUGGAGGAACACCGGUGGCGAAGGCGACAUCCUGGACCGGUAUUGACGCUGAGGCGCGAAAGCCAGGGGAGCAAACGGG
Molecule: ribosomal RNA, 253 nt
Filed under: uncultured bacterium
Lineage: Bacteria
Description: partial 16S ribosomal RNA
Rfam family: Bacterial small subunit ribosomal RNA
Source: RNAcentral